This 497-nucleotide ribosomal RNA is filed under the name uncultured bacterium. RNAcentral's name for it is "partial 16S ribosomal RNA". It matches the Rfam family "Bacterial small subunit ribosomal RNA", at positions 28 to 507 of the family's 1533-position model. The record is from RNAcentral.
GAUGAACGCUGGCGGCGUGCCUAAUACAUGCAAGUCGAGCGAACAGAUGAGGAGCUUGCUCCUCUGACGUUAGCGGCGGACGGGUGAGUAACACGUGGAUAACCUACCUAUAAGACUGGGAUAACUUCGGGAAACCGGAGCUAAUACCGGAUAAUAUAUUGAACCGCAUGGUUCAAUAGUGAAAGACGGUUUUGCUGUCACUUAUAGAUGGAUCCGCGCCGCAUUAGCUAGUUGGUAAGGUAACGGCUUACCAAGGCGACGAUGCGUAGCCGACCUGAGAGGGUGAUCGGCCACACUGGAACUGAGACACGGUCCAGACUCCUACGGGAGGCAGCAGUAGGGAAUCUUCCGCAAUGGGCGAAAGCCUGACGGAGCAACGCCGCGUGAGUGAUGAAGGUCUUCGGAUCGUAAAACUCUGUUAUUAGGGAAGAACAAAUGUGUAAGUAACUAUGCACGUCUUGACGGUACCUAAUCAGAAAGUCACGGCUAACUACGUG